AACGAACGCUGGCGGCAGGCCUAACACAUGCAAGUCGAGCGAAGCCUUCGGGCUUAGCGGCGGACGGGUGAGUAACGCGUGGGAACGUGCCCUUUGGUACGGAAUAGCCUCGGGAAACUGGGAGUAAUACCGUAUGUGGUCGAGAGACGAAAGAUUUAUCGCCAAAGGAUCGGCCCGCGUUGGAUUAGGUAGUUGGUGGGGUAAUGGCCUACCAAGCCGACGAUCCAUAGCUGGUUUGAGAGGAUGAUCAGCCGCACUGGGACUGAGACACGGCCCAGACUCCUACGGGAGGCAGCAGUGGGGAAUCUUAGACAAUGGGGGAAACCCUGAUCUAGCCAUGCCGCGUGAUCGAUGAAGGCCUUAGGGUUGUAAAGAUCUUUCAGUGGGGAAGAUAAUGACUGUACCCACAGAAGAAGCCCCGGCUAACUCCGUGCCAGCCGCCGCGGUAA
Molecule: ribosomal RNA, 449 nt
Filed under: uncultured bacterium
Lineage: Bacteria
Description: partial 16S ribosomal RNA
Rfam family: Bacterial small subunit ribosomal RNA
Source: RNAcentral